GUAAAUGCAAGGAACAGGACAAGAUUUCCGGGAAAUGUGUUUUCAGAGAGCUUUCGGUUGAUGCGAGAAAGCAGCACACCAGGAGAAUCAUCACCUGCAAGCAGUCAGGAUGAAAAUCGAUGAUCGGUAAUUCUGAACGGAGUUCCACCGUUAAAGGGAAGCCUGUUGGGACAGCAGUCUGACGUGCAGUGCACCGGAUGAAAUCAGACAGGACUAAGAGACCGUAUGUGUAUGCCGGUAAUGGAAGUGGUAUCGCGGAGAGAAAUCCUUCGUCUUCUUA
This 280-nucleotide non-coding RNA is filed under the name Lachnoclostridium sp. Its description in RNAcentral is "T-box sequence". It matches the Rfam family "T-box leader". From Rfam's summary of the family: Uncharged tRNA acts as the effector for transcription antitermination of genes in the T-box leader family. T-boxes are found upstream of many aminoacyl-tRNA synthetase genes and some amino acid biosynthetic genes usually in Gram-positive bacteria. Lineage: Bacteria; Bacillati; Bacillota; Clostridia; Lachnospirales; Lachnospiraceae. The record is from RNAcentral.